GAGGUUUCUGAUGUGCAUGCAC
Molecule: microRNA, 22 nt
Filed under: Panagrellus redivivus
Lineage: Eukaryota; Metazoa; Nematoda; Chromadorea; Rhabditida; Panagrolaimidae
Description: prd-miR-7934-5p
Source: miRBase by way of RNAcentral